This 76-nucleotide transfer RNA is filed under the name subsurface metagenome. RNAcentral describes it as "tRNA-Met". It matches the Rfam family "tRNA". From Rfam's summary of the family: Transfer RNA (tRNA) molecules are approximately 80 nucleotides in length. The record is from RNAcentral.
UGGGCCCAUAGCUCAGCUGGUUAGAGCACCUGACUCAUAAUCAGGGAGUCCUAGGUUCAAAUCCUAGUGGGCCCAU